UAGGGAAUCUUGCGCAAUGGGCGAAAGCCUGACGCAGCGACGCCGCGUGCGGGAAGAAGGCCUUCGGGUUGUAAACCGCUUUCAGGAGGGACGAAGCUACUCGGGUGAAUAGCCCAGAGGGUGACGGUACCUCCAGAAGAAGCCCCGGCUAACUACGUGCCAGCAGCCGCGGUAAUACGUAGGGGGCAAGCGUUGUCCGGAUUUAUUGGGCGUAAAGAGCGUGUAGGCGGCCAUGCAGGUCCGUUGUGAAAACUGGAGGCUCAACCUCCAGACGCCGGUGGAAACCGUGUGGCUAGAGUCCGGAAGAGGAGAGUGGAAUUCCUGGUGUAGCGGUGAAAUGCGCAGAUAUCAGGAAGAACACCCGUGGCGAAGGCGGCUCUCUGGGACGGUACUGACGCUGAGACGCGAAAGCGUGGGGAGCGAACAGGAUUAGAUACCCUGGUAGUCCACGCCGUAAACGAUGGGCGCUAGGUGUGGGCGGUGUCGACUCCGUCCGUGCCGAAGCUAACGCAUUAAGCGCCCCGCCU
Molecule: ribosomal RNA, 527 nt
Filed under: uncultured bacterium
Lineage: Bacteria
Description: bacterial SSU rRNA
Rfam family: Bacterial small subunit ribosomal RNA
Source: RNAcentral